UUGGAUCUCAUGGAGGCAUUUCCUCAA
RNAcentral lists this non-coding RNA (27 nucleotides) under Mus musculus (house mouse). The record is from RNAcentral. Lineage: Eukaryota; Metazoa; Chordata; Mammalia; Rodentia; Muridae.